RNAcentral lists this ribosomal RNA (735 nucleotides) under uncultured Tetracladium. Its description in RNAcentral is "eukaryotic LSU rRNA". The stretch from base 159 to 735 matches the Rfam family "Eukaryotic large subunit ribosomal RNA", at positions 1 to 581 of the family's 3401-position model. The record is from RNAcentral. Lineage: Eukaryota; Fungi; Ascomycota.
GCGUCAUUAUCACCCCUCAAGCCUAGCUUGGUGUUGAGGCCUGCUGUCAAGGCAGCCUCUAAAAUCAGUGGCAGUGCUGUCAGGCUCUAAGCGUAGUAAAAUAAAUCGCUAUAGCGUCCUGGUGGAUACUCGUCAGAACCCCCCCAUUUUUUAAUGAUUGACCUCGGAUUAGGUAGGGAUACCCGCUGAACUUAAGCAUAUCAAUAAGCGGAGGAAAAGAAACCAACAGGGAUUGCCUCAGUAACGGCGAGUGAAGCGGCAAAAGCUCAAAUUUGAAAUCUGGCUCUUUUAGGGUCCGAGUUGUAAUUUGUAGAAGAUGUUUCGGGUGUGGCUCCGGUUUAAGUUCUUUGGAAUAUUACAUCAUAGAGGGUGAGAAUCCCGUAUGUGACCGGCAGCCUCCGCCUAUGUGAAACUCUUUCGACGAGUCGAGUUGUUUGGGAAUGCAGCUCAAAAUGGGAGGUAUAUUUCUUCUAAAGCUAAAUAUUGGCCAGAGACCGAUAGCGCACAAGUAGAGUGAUCGAAAGAUGAAAAGCACUUUGGAAAGAGGGUUAAACAGUACGUGAAAUUGUUGAAAGGGAAGCGCUUGCAACCAGACUUGCACGCAGUUGAUCAUCCGGUGUUCUCACCGGGGCACUCUGCUGCGUUCAGGCCAGCAUCGGUUUUGGUGGUUGGAUAAAGGCCUUGGGAAUGUGGCUUCCUUCGGGGAGUGUUAUAGCCCUCGGUGCAAUGCAGCCU